This 431-nucleotide ribosomal RNA is filed under the name uncultured bacterium. Its description in RNAcentral is "bacterial SSU rRNA". It matches the Rfam family "Bacterial small subunit ribosomal RNA", at positions 355 to 787 of the family's 1533-position model. The record is from RNAcentral.
UGAGGAAUAUUGGUCAAUGGGCGGGAGCCUGAACCAGCCAAGCCGCGUGACGGAAGAAGGCGCUAAGCGUCGUAAACGUCUUUUGCCGGGGAACAAAGGCGCGGACGCGUCCGCGUGUGAGUGUACCCGGAGAAAAAGCAUCGGCUAACUCCGUGCCAGCAGCCGCGGUAAUACGGAGGAUGCGAGCGUUAUCCGGAUUUAUUGGGUUUAAAGGGUGCGUAGGCGGCCCGUUAAGUCAGCGGUAAAAGCCCGGGCUCAACCCGGCGAGCCGUUGAACUGGGGGCUAGAGACGGCGAGAAGUACGCGGAAUGCGGCGGUGUAGUGGUGAAAUGCAUAGAUAUCGCGCAGAACUCCGAUUGCGAAGGCAGCGUACCGGCGCCGGACUGACGCUGAGGCACGAAAGCGUGGGUAUCGAACAGGAUUAGAUACCC